GAUUUAUAUGUCUCUCAGAAUCAAUGUGAUGAUGGUUUCUGCUCAGUAUGGUCUAACAUUUCUAAGAUGUCAGGUCAUUAUAGUGCUUUCUGUACUCAAAUUAUUUUAAUUGAAAGACUAACUCUCCUUUUCUGAGCACUAUUUACUUCUAAUUCCUAUCAUUUUCUUCAAAAGAUAGAACUCUUGGUCUAUCCAUGGCAACUUUCACGGUUGGAAAUAGUUUUGCUGAUGAUGUUGACUUCUACUCUUUAUUCUAACCCCUUGGCUGGGUCUGACCAAGGAUGAUGCCAGCAAAGGGCCAGGAAAGUAAACUGCACAGAGGCAUCUAAUAUUAAAAAUCCGAAGAAAUGUACAAAAUCUACAGGAAGAUAAGCUGUAUCAUCUCCCAGACUGGCAGUUUUCCCCAUGUCACAUGGUCAUUGGGUUAUAGAGUUGAACCGAUGGGCCUCAAGUGAAAGGAAGAUCACGAAAGUUGUGCCUAGAAAAGGGCAUUCUGAUCUGCGGUCAGGUAAAGUAGCUUCUGUUGUAACUGUUUUUGUUAUAUUAAUCAUACUUCGAAUACUACACUCUUCCCAUUCACUUGAAUAA
RNAcentral lists this long non-coding RNA (588 nucleotides) under Papio anubis (olive baboon). Its description in RNAcentral is "lncRNA (ENSPANG00000050995.1)". The record is from RNAcentral. Lineage: Eukaryota; Metazoa; Chordata; Mammalia; Primates; Cercopithecidae.